RNAcentral lists this small RNA (316 nucleotides) under uncultured bacterium. RNAcentral describes it as "bacterial SSU rRNA". It matches the Rfam family "Bacterial small subunit ribosomal RNA", at positions 50 to 354 of the family's 1533-position model. The record is from RNAcentral.
AAUACAUGCAAGUCGAGCGGACCUGUAUGGAGCUUGCUCCAGACAGGUUAGCGGCGGACGGGUGAGUAACACGUAGGCAACCUGCCCGCAAGACCGGGAUAACGUAGGGAAACUUACGCUAAUACCGGAUAGGGCACUCUCUCGCAUGAGAGGGUGCGGAAAGGUGGCGCAAGCUACCACUUGCGGAUGGGCCUGCGGCGCAUUAGCUAGUUGGUGGGGUAACGGCCUACCAAGGCGACGAUGCGUAGCCGACCUGAGAGGGUGACCGGCCACACUGGGACUGAGACACGGCCCAGACUCCUACGGGAGGCAGCAG